UGAAAGGUACUUUAAAAAAAAGGAUGAGUUUGCGUCUUAAGAUUGGAGUUUUCCCCUUUC
This 60-nucleotide transfer RNA is filed under the name Xylophaga dorsalis. RNAcentral describes it as "tRNA-Ala". Lineage: Eukaryota; Metazoa; Mollusca; Bivalvia; Myida; Xylophagaidae. The record is from RNAcentral.